UCGGUAUUUUGGGAGAAUGUCGGGUUCAUGUGUAGGAACGCUUCGAAUUAUUUUUGUUUAUGCUUGUAUAUUUAUUUUGAUGAUAAGUUAUAUUUGUGAAUAGGUGGUGCACCUUCAGGUUGUGCUUAGCUUACAUUCUUGGUCUUCAAUGAAGGCAAGUAAAUAUAGCGACGUGGUCUACAUGCUUUAAGUUUGUUGCUUGAAUUGCCUCCAUUUAAUUUAGUACCUUACACUAGCAAGAUAAAUCUAAAUUUGUCUUUAUAUUGAAGUAUCUUGUUCCACUUGAGGCUUUACUUUUGAAGUUAUGAAUUUUGAAGUAUAUGAAGUUCA
RNAcentral lists this long non-coding RNA (330 nucleotides) under Setaria viridis. Its description in RNAcentral is "long non-coding RNA (SVIR_LNC002957)". The record is from RNAcentral. Lineage: Eukaryota; Viridiplantae; Streptophyta; Magnoliopsida; Poales; Poaceae.